AGGCGAGUAACACUGGCUUCAAACUUCUUCGAACAUGAUGUGUCAUCCCCAAAGGAAGCCCUGUAUAUAGUAGAGGAAAGACCUUCUGACACACAUCGAUCUGAGGAGAAACUGCGGCAAGCAGAUACAAUUUCUUCGUAUGAGAAGUUCCUUAGUGUUCCACUGUGUGUUCCACAAGGAGGCAGUGGUAAUGGCCCAGAAGCAAAGAGAGGGCCACUGCCAUUUCCUGCUUUAAAACUACUAACAGUCUUCAGUGCAGAAGCAGGAAGAGGAAGAGGCUGGGGACUUGGAUGGUCCCUUGGUAAACCAGUUCUGCUCUUUGACUCUUCAUGCUCAUCAU
This 340-nucleotide unclassified non-coding RNA is filed under the name Hevea brasiliensis (rubber tree). The record is from RNAcentral. Lineage: Eukaryota; Viridiplantae; Streptophyta; Magnoliopsida; Malpighiales; Euphorbiaceae.